This 491-nucleotide ribosomal RNA is filed under the name uncultured bacterium. RNAcentral describes it as "partial 16S ribosomal RNA". It matches the Rfam family "Bacterial small subunit ribosomal RNA", at positions 29 to 506 of the family's 1533-position model. The record is from RNAcentral.
AGUGAACGCUGGCGGUAGGCCUAACACAUGCAAGUCGAACGGCAGCACAGUAAGAGCUUGCUCUUACGGGUGGCGAGUGGCGGACGGGUGAGGAAUACAUCGGAAUCUACUUUUUCGUGGGGGAUAACGUAGGGAAACUUACGCUAAUACCGCAUACGACCUACGGGUGAAAGCAGGGGAUCCUCGGACCUUGCGCGAUUGAAUGAGCCGAUGUCGGAUUAGCUAGUUGGCGGGGUAAAGGCCCACCAAGGCGACGAUCCGUAGCUGGUCUGAGAGGAUGAUCAGCCACACUGGAACUGAGACGCGGUCCAGACUCCUACGGGAGGCAGCAGUGGGGAAUAUUGGACAAUGGGCGCAAGCCUGAUCCAGCCAUACCGCGUGGGUGAAGAAGGCCUUCGGGUUGUAAAGCCCUUUUGUUGGGAAAGAAAAGCAGCAGGUUAAUACCCCGCUGUUCUGACGGUACCCAAAGAAUAAGCACCGGCUAACUUCGU